AUACGUAUGUCGCAAGCGUUAUCCGGAUUUAUUGGGCGUAAAGCGCGUCUAGGCGGCUUAGUAAGUCUGAUGUGAAAAUGCGAGGCUCAACCCCGUAUUGCGUUGGAAACUGCUAAACUAGAGUACUGGAGAGGUAGGCGGAACUACAAGUGUAGAGGUGAAAUUCGUAGAUAUUUGUAGGAAUGCCGAUGGGGAAGCCAGCCUACUGGACAGAUACUGACGCUAAAGCGCGAAAGCGUGGGUAGCAAACAGGAUUAGAUACCCUGGUAGUCCACGCCGUAAACGAUGAUUACUAGGUGUUGGGGGUCGAACCUCAGCGCCCAAGCUAACGCGAUAAGUAAUCCGCCUGGGGAGUACGUACGCAAGUAUGAAACUCAAAUGAAUUGGCGGGG
This 392-nucleotide ribosomal RNA is filed under the name uncultured bacterium. RNAcentral's name for it is "partial 16S ribosomal RNA". It matches the Rfam family "Bacterial small subunit ribosomal RNA", at positions 523 to 918 of the family's 1533-position model. The record is from RNAcentral.